Molecule: ribosomal RNA, 631 nt
Filed under: Thalassobacillus sp. YIM 94285
Lineage: Bacteria; Bacillati; Bacillota; Bacilli; Caryophanales; Bacillaceae
Description: bacterial SSU rRNA
Rfam family: Bacterial small subunit ribosomal RNA
Source: RNAcentral
GCGUGAAGCAGGUGGAUCCCUUCGGGGUGACACCUGUGGAUCGAGCGGCGGACGGGUGAGUAACACGUGGGCAACCUGCCUGUAAGACUGGGAUAACCCCGGGAAACCGGGGCUAAUACCGGGUAAUACCGGACUCCGCAUGGAGUCUGGUUGAAAGAUGGCUUCUUGCUAUCACUUACAGAUGGGCCCGCGGCGCAUUAGCUAGUUGGUGAGGUAACGGCUCACCAAGGCGACGAUGCGUAGCCGACCUGAGAGGGUGAUCGGCCACACUGGGACUGAGACACGGCCCAGACUCCUACGGGAGGCAGCAGUAGGGAAUCUUCCGCAAUGGACGAAAGUCUGACGGAGCAACGCCGCGUGAACGAUGAAGGUCUUCGGAUCGUAAAGUUCUGUUGUCAGGGAAGAACAAGUACCGUUCGAACAGGGCGGUACCUUGACGGUACCUGACGAGGAAGCCCCGGCUAACUACGUGCCAGCAGCCGCGGUAAUACGUAGGGGGCAAGCGUUGUCCGGAAUUAUUGGGCGUAAAGCGCGCGCAGGCGGUUCCUUAAGUCUGAUGUGAAAGCCCACGGCUCAACCGUGGAGGGUCAUUGGAAACUGGGGAACUUGAGUACAGAAGAGGAGAGUGGAA